RNAcentral lists this ribosomal RNA (306 nucleotides) under uncultured bacterium. RNAcentral's name for it is "bacterial SSU rRNA". It matches the Rfam family "Bacterial small subunit ribosomal RNA", at positions 1092 to 1397 of the family's 1533-position model. The record is from RNAcentral.
ACGAGCGCAACCCCUAUCCUUAGUUGCCACCAGGUAAUGCUGAGCACUCUAGGGAGACUGCCCGGGUUAACCGGGAGGAAGGUGGGGACGACGUCAAGUCAUCAUGGCCCUUACGCCUGGGGCUACACACGUACUACAAUGGUGCAUACAAAGGGUUGCGAAGCCGUGAGGUGGAGCUAAUCCCAUAAAGUGCAUCCCAGUCCGGAUAGGAGUCUGCAACUCGACUCCUUGAAGUCGGAAUCGCUAGUAAUCCCGGAUCAGCAUGCCGGGGUGAAUGCGUUCCCGGGCCUUGCACACACCGCCCGU